GUAUAUGGCCAUGCUACCCUGAACACGCUCGAUCCCGGAAGCUAAGCAGGGUCGGGCCUGAUUAGUACUUGGAUGAGAGACCACCUAGGAAUACCAGGUGCUGUAGGCA
RNAcentral lists this ribosomal RNA (109 nucleotides) under Pteropus alecto (black flying fox). Lineage: Eukaryota; Metazoa; Chordata; Mammalia; Chiroptera; Pteropodidae. The record is from RNAcentral.